GUGCUCGCUCCAAUGGCACAUAUACUAAAAUUAGAUACAGAGAAGAUUAGCAUGGCCCCUGCACAAGGAUGACUACACACACACACACACACACACACACACA
This is a small nuclear RNA of Pipistrellus kuhlii (Kuhl's pipistrelle), 103 nucleotides long. Lineage: Eukaryota; Metazoa; Chordata; Mammalia; Chiroptera; Vespertilionidae. The record is from RefSeq and is a predicted model, not a curated record.